UGCAAGUCGGACGAGAAGGUACCUUCGGGUACUGGAGAGUGGCGCACGGGUGAGUAACGCGUGGGGACCUACCUCUUAGUGGGGGAUAACGGUUGGAAACGACCGCUAAUACCGCAUACGCCCUUCGGGGGAAAGAUUUAUCGCUAAGAGAUGGACCCGCGUUGGAUUAGAUAGUUGGUGAGGUAAUGGCUCACCAAGUCGGCGAUCCAUAGCUGGUUUGAGAGGAUGAUCAGCCACACUGGGACUGAGACACGGCCCAGACUCCUACGGGAGGCAGCAGUGGGGAAUAUUGGACAAUGGGGGCAACCCUGAUCCAGCCAUGCCGCGUGAGUGAAGAAGGCCUUCGGGUUGUAAAGCUCU
This 360-nucleotide ribosomal RNA is filed under the name marine bacterium SIMO-IS133. RNAcentral's name for it is "bacterial SSU rRNA". It matches the Rfam family "Bacterial small subunit ribosomal RNA", at positions 56 to 434 of the family's 1533-position model. Lineage: Bacteria; Pseudomonadati; Pseudomonadota; Alphaproteobacteria. The record is from RNAcentral.